This 639-nucleotide ribosomal RNA is filed under the name Triticum aestivum (bread wheat). RNAcentral's name for it is "partial small subunit ribosomal RNA". The record is from RNAcentral. Lineage: Eukaryota; Viridiplantae; Streptophyta; Magnoliopsida; Poales; Poaceae.
AUGGCUGAGGACCUCAUCCCCCUUGACCUCACAUUGGACGGAGACGGAAGGCCAAGGGCUACAAUGGGAACACGUGUCAUCAAGCAAUCGCACGGCCAUGAUUAUGAUGAUACCACUUUUGACAAGGAGGGCGACGAUGAUGACGAUGACCAAAAUCAAGACGAAGAAGACGACAACGGUGCAGAGGACGAUGAUGAAGAAGAAGACAAUGACUUGACCCAUAUCAAUUGCUCUCUUGAAUUUGAUCAAGAUGGUGAACCUGAUGAUAUCCCCAUAAUUAGCCGGCACCUCAUCGAGUCACGUGGGAAGCUACUCCUGGUAAGACAUCAUCGGUACUGCCAUCCAGACCUCGAUGCAGGACCUACAUGGCUCACUGUCCAGGUGGAUGUAUUUGAAGCAGACUUUAACACACACGCUUGGGUGCCACUGACGGAAGGGCUAGGUGGUGGUCGAGCACUCUUCCUUAGCAUGAAGUUCUCUAAGUCUGUCCCAGCACCUUGUGGAGAGGUGGAGGAAGAUGCAAUUUAUUUUAUGGACACGGGCAAUGUGUUCAACAUGAAGUCCGGUACUUCUAACCCUUCAAAGUUUUGUGAGUAUCCUGGAACAACAUGGCUCUUCCCUUCUGAGUUGAUACUUUGA